CUAAAAGAAAUUAAUUUAAAAUAAAAGGAAAUUCAAUUUUUAAAGAAAAGUUGUCCAGCAACGGAAAUUUUGAGCGAAAUUGAAUUUUUUUAGAAAUCCAAUACUACUUGAGAAACCCAAGUCAGUAAGUUUACAGCCUCGAUUCAAUGCCUUUGAGGUGGAUAAUGAUAGAGCUGAAGCUUUUGGAAGAGAACUGCUUAAUUAUAUUAUUAAUAGACGACAUUUAUAUAGAUACAAACCUAACAGAGUUCUCUACGUUGCAGGAAGACUAAUCCUUUAGAAAUACAAGUUGUUGCAGUAAUGGAGUCCUAAUGAAUAACAAACUGUAAGAGCAGUAAUGAAGUCCUAAUGAAUAACAAACUGUAAGAGCUAUACAUUGAUUUAUCAUGCCCCCUCAAGAUGGACCACGAUCGGAGAGGCCAAUCUUGUCACGAAACAAAUGAAAUGUAGACGUAGACAGGGGUUUGGUCAGAAGGUCCGCAAGUUGAUCAGCAGAUGAAACGUGAGUUACACGUAACUGACCAGAUUGAACUUGAUCGCGAAUGAAAUGGUAGUCGACUGCAACAUGUUUCAUGCGAGAAUGAAAAAUAGGAUUGGAACUUAAUUGAGUUGCUCCUAUGUUAUCACAGUAUAUCACAGGUGAGGAAGACAGAGCAACACCAAGUUCAUGAAGUAGAGAUUGUACCCAACAGAGUUCAGCAGCAGUGGCAGCAACGGAGCGAUACUCAGCCUCUGUUGAAGACCUGGCAAUGGUCUUUUGUUUCUUUGAACUCCAAGAAAUUAAAUUACUUCCAAGAUAAACUAGAUAAGCACUAGUGGAUGAAUAAUCAUCUUUAUUGCCAGCCCAAUCGGCAUCUGAAAAGGCAUGAAGUUGAUCAGCGAAGUCAUGAAGAUUGGAGGGCGAGUCACGGUGCAGAAGAAGGCCUUUGUUUAGUGUACCAACAAGGUAUCGCAGAAUUCGUUUAACAAGUAUCCAGUGAUCAUCGGUUGGGCUGUGCAUGAAUUGAGACAGUUUGUUCACAGCAAAGGACACAUCUGGUCUUGUAAGUGAAAGAUACUGAAGGCUCCCUACCACUUCACGAUAAAUUGUGGGAUUCUGUAGCGGUGAACCAGACAACAAUGAAAUAGCAGAGGCAGAGCUUGGAAUCGGAGUGAGCACUGGUUUUGCGUCCAACAUGUUGAGACGAGUUAGCAGGUCAGUAAUGUACUUGCGUUGAGAGAGUAGAAUACCAUGUUUGUGAGGAAGAACUUCAACACCCAAGAAGUAGGACAAAUUGCCAAGAUCUUUAAGAGAAAAACGUUUGGCAAGACUGGAAACAAAAACUGAUAGAAUGUUGUCACUGCUGCCUGUGACAAUAAUGUCAUCCACGUAAACCAGCAAAAACAGAACAUGUUGAGCACUGUGAAAUGUGAACAGAGAAGGAUCAGAGUAGGAAUUGCAGAAACCAGAAGCCAACAGAAAUGUGCGCAAUUCAUGAUACCAAGCCCGGGGCGCCUGUUUGAGUCCAUAAAUGGCCUUGUGAAGUUUGCAGACAAAUGACGGUUUGUCACGAUCAACAAAUCCAGGAGGUUGCACCAUGUAAACGGUUUCAGAGAGAUGACCUUGAAGGAAAGCAUUGUUGAUAUCCAGCUGUUUAAGUGACCAUCCGCGACUGACAGCAAGACUGAGUACCAAGCGGACAGUGGUUGGCUUCACAACGGGGCUGAAAGUCUCAUGAUAGUCUACACCGGGACGCUGGUGGAACCCUUUUGCAACAAGUCGUGCUUUAAAUCUGUUUAUGGAUCCAUCAGAAAGUCUUUUAAUGCGGUAAACCCACCUGCAACCAACAACGUUAGUGAUACCAUCAGGAGGAACAAGUUCCCAUGUGCCAUUGCAGACUAAAGCAUCAUAUUCCUCAGACAUGGCAGCUCGCCAGUUUGGAUCUUUAAGUGCCUGAGAGAGGAUGGAAGGUUCUGUUGGAGAGAUGACCGGUUUAGUAGUGUGAAGACUGAGUUUCUGGAUUGGUUUGUGGAUAUUAUUCCGGGACCGAGUGAUCAUGGGGUGUAGGGAAUGUUGUGGUGGUGGUGGAACAGGUAGAGAUGGAUCUUGAAGUGAAGGAUUAUGGUGAGAGGAUGAAGCAGUUACCUGUGAAGUAGAUAUGAUGGAAGGGAUUGCUCCAGCAUGUGUGGAAGGACUUGAUGAAGGGACCAUAGGAGGAGAUGCAUCUGCAUGGCAUUGUGAGGAAGGAGCAGAAGGAGCCAGUUGCUGUGGGGUUUGAGAUGAGACAGAAAUAGGUGAAGGCAUCCAGUCGGAAACGGGGGAAGGAAGAUUUGAAGGUGCAGUAGGAUAAGAUUUAUAAGGAAAAACUGACUCAACAAAUUGUACAUGCCGUGAAAUAUGUAGUUUGUUAUUGGAUUUGUCAAGGCAUAGAUAUGCACUUUGAGAAAGGGAGUAUCCAAGAAAAACACAGGGUUGAGAUUUCGACUCAAGUUUAUGAGAUGCAUAUGGACCUAACCAAGGAUAACAUAAACAACCAAACACUUUAAGUUUAGAAAAAUUGGGACUCUUGUGAAAAAUUGACUCGUAUGGUGAAGACAUGUUUAAUGUGGGAGUAGGCAUCCUGUUAAUUAGGUAAACGGCAGUGGUGAAGGCAUAAGUCCAAAAAGUAGUAGGGAUUGAGGCAUGAGAAAGAAGGGCAAGUCCAGUUUCGACAAUGUGAAGAUGUCGCCGUUCAGAAUAACCAUUAUGUUCAGGUGUAUGUGGUGGGGACGUGAGAUGACUAAUUCCAUGUUCGGAAAGAAAUGGUUUGAGAGCAAUGUAUUCACCACCAUUAUCAGAAUAAAGAGAAAUAAUGGUUUGUUGAAAAUAUUUUUCAACAAUUGCUUUGUAGCGUCGAAACACUAUUUGGACAUCAGAUUUGCGUUUUAAUGGAUAAAACCAAAUGUAUUUUGUAAAAUGAUCAACAAAAAUAACAUAGUAUUUAUAACCAUCGUGUGAAAUAAUAGGAGAAGUCCAAACAUCUGAAAAUACAACUUGAAGAGGACGCGUAGUGUGCAAAGUAGACACAGAAAAUGGUUGUUUAUGACUUUUAUUACUUAAGCAAGCAUCGCAACAAAAAUUCUUUUGAGAAGAAAAAUUUAAAUGAUAGAAGGACAUGAUAUGUUUAAGAAUUGUGGAGGCUGGAUGACCAAGGCGCUGGUGCCAAAUGGACAUUGUUGUUUUGACAGCAGAGAAGGCUAGAAUGGGAGGAGUAGAAGAGGUCGCAACUGGCCAUUCAUAAAUACCAUUCUUAGUGCCGCCCUGCAGAAGAAUGUCCCCCGUUUGUAGGUCCUUCACAUGAAAACAAUGAGGAAAAAGUUCAAUCGACACAUUGUUGGUGAUACAGAAUAAUGCAAUAGAUAUUAAAUUUUUUUGCAUUUUUGGAACACACAAAACAUCUUGUAAGUGGAAAGAAGAGUUAGAUGUGGGAAGGGAUACUGAACCAGUGUGACUUAUGGGAAGGUUGGUACCAUCGCCUAGUAUAACAUCAUCAUGACCAGUAUAUGGUGUAUGGAGGGAAAGAUUAUUGAGGUCGGCAGUAACAUGAUGGGAAGCACCACUAUCCAGUAACCAUGACGCAGCGGUGGAUGGUGAUGAAGAAGAAAAAUUGGCUUGAGGAUUCCAGGAGGAUGGCAUACCAUUGGAGGAGCUGGCAGAGUUAGAACCAUGAACAGGAACUAAUUGAAAAGAAGGACAACGUUUAGCGGUGUGUCCUUGAGUGCCACACAUCUGGCAGUAAUAGGACCAAGACGAGAGGAUUGUGACCGUGUUUGAAGUGAUGCUUCAAACAAGAGAAGUUUCUCAUGGAGUUCAUCAAAGGAGAUAGCAGCUUCGCGAGCUUGGACAGCCCGAACAAGUUCUGUGUAAUCUUCAUCUAAACCAUCAAGGAUCUGUUCAGUAAGAUCAUCAGUAUCCAUAGGAGCACCAAGAACAGUAAGUUCGUCAGAUUUUGCUUUAAUGAAGUGGACAAAAUCUGUGAUACUCAUAGAACCUUUUGUGAGAUUCUUUAACUGGUUUUUCACCUGGCGAAUACGUCCACGUGAUGGUUUAGCAUAUGUUGUGGCAAGAACAUGCCAAGCAUCAUAAGAAGAAGUGGUGCGGGCUACAAAGGAAAUAAGCGAAGGAGAAAGACUGCCAACAAUGGCAUUCAAGAGAAGUUGAUCUUGCCUUACCCAGAGACUAUAGGCAGGAUUAGGGACAGUGAUAUUAUCUGUUACAAGGGUUGGUGAGGGACACGGCUUGGAGCCAUCGAUGUAACCAAGAAGAUCGUAGCCAAUAAAUAGUGUUUCAAAUUGAAUUUUCCAAGAAGCAUAGUUGGAAGAGGUGAGUUUGAGAAGGGCUUGAGCAGCUGUGUUUAUGGUGAUAAGAUGGUUUUCUGUGUUUGAAGGAAUGGAAGUUGACAUGGUGAUGGGAAGAGGGAAGAAACAGAAUUGAAGAGGAAUGGAGAGAAAAAAGAGAAAAAAAAUAAAGGAUCAGAGACGCUCUGAUACCAUGAUAGAGCUGAAGCUUUUGGAAGAGAACUGCUUAAUUAUAUUAUUAAUAGACGACAUUUAUAUAGAUACAAACCUAACAGAGUUCUCUACGUUGCAGGAAGACUAAUCCUUUAGAAAUACAAGUUGUUGCAGUAAUGGAGUCCUAAUGAAUAACAAACUGUAAGAGCAGUAAUGAAGUCCUAAUGAAUAACAAAUUGUAAGAGCUAUACAUUGAUUUAUCAGAUAAAUCUUGAUCCCCGAUGAGAUUAGCCUUGGUAUAAACAUGCAUGAUAUGCACAAUGGGAGUUUCUUUCUUUCCUUUUCCCUUAAGGAUCCUCAAAGUACAUUCUUGUUAUAUAAGAAAGAAAAAGAAGCAAAAAAUGUUUUCGUGCCGGCACAUCGCAUCAAGCAUAAAGGCAGCAGCACAGUUCUGCCGCCUUAUAUUAUUCCCAAAGGGGCCAGCCUUGCCGAUCGAUAUGUUUCUGAAACUACCUAGCAAGGGCACCACUAUCUAUUCAACUUUUCUAUUAAUUGAUGAAAGUGUACGUAUAUAUAUCAUAAACACUUGAUUUCUUCAACACAGCUCUUGAUGGACCUGCCAUGCCAGGCCAUGAGAAACAUGAUUAAAAGAUCGGUAGAAGAAAUGUGCCCAUCACUUGGAAAUUAGAUUGGAAAGUUGAUUUGAUGAAGCAUCAGCAAG
This 5191-nucleotide long non-coding RNA is filed under the name Populus trichocarpa (black cottonwood). RNAcentral's name for it is "long non-coding RNA (PTRI_LNC004075)". Lineage: Eukaryota; Viridiplantae; Streptophyta; Magnoliopsida; Malpighiales; Salicaceae. The record is from RNAcentral.